Molecule: ribosomal RNA, 499 nt
Filed under: uncultured bacterium
Lineage: Bacteria
Description: partial 16S ribosomal RNA
Rfam family: Bacterial small subunit ribosomal RNA
Source: RNAcentral
ACUCAAAUGAAUAGACGGGGGCCCGCACAAGCGGUGGAGCAUGUGGUUUAAUUCGACGCAACGCGCAGAACCUUACCAGCCCUUGACAUGGCGUCUAAAGCCGGGCGAGAGCCCGGGGUCCCUUCGGGGGGGCGUCACAGGUGCUGCAUGGCUGUCGUCAGCUCGUGUCGUGAGAUGUUGGGUUAAGUCCCGCAACGAGCGCAACCCUUACCUCUAGUUGCCAGCGGGUCGGGCCGGGCACUCUAGAGGGACCGCCGGUGACAAGCCGGAGGAAGGUGGGGAUGACGUCAAGUCCUCAUGGCCCUUAUGGGCUGGGCCACACACGUGCUACAAUGGCGGCGACAGAGGGCAGCGAGCGUGCGAGCGCGAGCUAAUCCCGAAAAGCCGUCUCAGUUCGGAUCGCGGGCUGCAACUCGCCCGCGUGAAGGUGGAAUCGCUAGUAAUCGCGGAUCAGCACGCCGCGGUGAAUACGUUCCCGGGCCUUGCACACACCGCCCGU